Molecule: long non-coding RNA, 264 nt
Organism: Sabethes cyaneus
Lineage: Eukaryota; Metazoa; Arthropoda; Insecta; Diptera; Culicidae
Exons: 3
Source: RefSeq, a predicted model, not a curated record
UUUGAUUAUCUUAGAAGUUUCAACUUAACGCUAAAGUCAUUACGUGCUAAUUAUUAUAUACUUAUCGUCAUCUAAACCUAAAUUGAUUAUUAUAUGCUAGUUCCUAGUGCUACUUACAUACAAAGUACUUAAACCUACAGUACGGAUAUAGUACGGACUUGAGGAAGGUAGAAGAAGACUAAACGGAUUUUAUAACGCGCUUCACAUCAUCAUCAAAUAUACGUGUUACAAAACCGAAAACAACCUCUUCUCUAUCCCGUCCAG